RNAcentral lists this transfer RNA (74 nucleotides) under Iris atrofusca. RNAcentral describes it as "tRNA-Trp". It matches the Rfam family "tRNA". From Rfam's summary of the family: Transfer RNA (tRNA) molecules are approximately 80 nucleotides in length. Their secondary structure includes four short double-helical elements and three loops (D, anti-codon, and T loops). RNAcentral also lists the same sequence under 1 other name. The record is from RNAcentral. Lineage: Eukaryota; Viridiplantae; Streptophyta; Magnoliopsida; Asparagales; Iridaceae.
GCGCUCUUAGUUCAGUUUGGUAGAAUGCGGGUCUCCAAAACCCGAUGUCGUAGGUUCAAGUCCUACAGAGCGUG